UUAUUUUGCGCAGCUUAGGUGGGAGGCUAUGAACCUUUUCUUCUGGGAAGAGGGGAGCCAUCAGUGAGAUACCACUCUUGGUAAGCUAGAGCGCUCAGUCUUCACCGUCAUCCGGUAAGACGACAGUUUCAGGCGGGCAGUUUGACUGGGGCAGUCACCUCCCAAAAGGUAAUGGAGGUGUGCAAAGGUUCCCUCAGGCUGGACGGAAAUCAGCCAUAGAGUGUAAAAGCAUAAGGGAGCUUGACUGCGAGACUGACAUGUCAAGCAGAGACGAAAGUCGGCUUUAGUGAUCCGACGGUGCUGUGUGGAAAGGCCGUCGCUCAACGGAUAAAAGUUACUCUAGGGAUAACAGG
Molecule: ribosomal RNA, 353 nt
Filed under: uncultured eukaryote
Lineage: Eukaryota
Description: LSU rRNA
Rfam family: Bacterial large subunit ribosomal RNA
Source: RNAcentral